This 749-nucleotide long non-coding RNA is filed under the name Prunus persica (peach). RNAcentral's name for it is "long non-coding RNA (PPER_LNC006849)". Lineage: Eukaryota; Viridiplantae; Streptophyta; Magnoliopsida; Rosales; Rosaceae. The record is from RNAcentral.
CUACAACUUUUAUGUUGUAAUUUAAGUGUUAAAUUUUUUUUAUUGUAAACUUAUUUUGUGUUAAUAGAUAUUUAUGCUAUGCUAGUUUUUUUAAUGAACAUUUUGUUAUAAAAAAAAAUUAAAAUUUAGAUGAGAUUCUAAUAAAUAAAAAAACUGCAAGCAAACACCAUGAAACAAGGAACAAAAGAAAAAAAGAAAAAGAAAAAAAAAAAAGAGGUCCAUAUAGGUUGCGGGCCCCACGUUAGAGCAAAACGGAGUAAAAAGUGGGCUAAACUUUUCCAAUUUGCGGGCCUCACACUGGUUCCAGCGGCUUCAACCAAAUCCCUAUAUUUAUGUAUGUGGUUGCAUCCUUCUGGCUAGGCGGAGGGAUUUACUACCCAAAAGUGGACCAUUAGAGCACUUUCAUCGCCAGGGGCCAGCCUAGGCAAAAAGGGGCCCUAGGCCCUGAAGGAGACUCCAGCUCGCAGGGUCUAGCCCGGACAAGGCGUGGGACCCACCAGCCUGGGCAAGCCCAUAGGAAGAUUUGGCCUGUCUCCUUGCCUUUGGGCUGGUGUUAGCGCAAGAAUUUCAAAUUAUUUUUACGGUUGGGGUGUGGAAUGCACUCACCAACGAUAAACAAAUUUUGGAUUUCUUGCGCUGACGUCAGACGCCAACCUGACGUCAGCGCUGACCCAUAGCUGCCAGAAACCAACAUCUACAAGUCACGUGGUUUCUCCUGGAGCCUUCGAUCCAAAAAUCCUAUCAAAUCC